Molecule: long non-coding RNA, 432 nt
Organism: Vespa mandarinia (Asian giant hornet)
Lineage: Eukaryota; Metazoa; Arthropoda; Insecta; Hymenoptera; Vespidae
Source: RefSeq, a predicted model, not a curated record
UCAUUGUCUGACGACAUUUUCAAAGCCUAUUCUCGAUUCUUUAUAAAUAUAAAAAUCGACAAAAAGUUCAUUGACCUCCUUCGUUAUCUCUUGAUAAAUCGAAUGAAAGAAAAUAAGUAACGCGAUGUCCAAUAUAUUAUAUAUACCAAAUGGUUAGACACGAACUUUAUGGAAAACAAAAAGGUUCCGAAUUAUUAUAACCGAGUCUUUAGUCAGAAUAUAUAUUAUUUUGAUAAUACUACUUACAUGCUUGCGUAAUCUGUGACGUCGUCGAAAAUAAAAGUCGAUGUAUUACAACAAUCGAACGAACUACUUCGACGAUGAAUAAGUAAAAAUGACCAAAUGACAUAAAUUUAUAUAUGUUCGAUAGAUAGAAAUAAUGUUUACCGUUAAAGUUUUACAGUGAAAAAUAAAGUUCGUACGUUCCUAUUA